RNAcentral lists this ribosomal RNA (318 nucleotides) under Triticum aestivum (bread wheat). RNAcentral describes it as "partial small subunit ribosomal RNA". The record is from RNAcentral. Lineage: Eukaryota; Viridiplantae; Streptophyta; Magnoliopsida; Poales; Poaceae.
AUGCGGUUGGUAUUUGGUCUGAUCAACUGUGGUUCUUUAGAUGUUUGGGAAAUUGGAGGACCAAGUGGUAUUCAUAAUGUUAACAACCUCUGCCGGCGAGUCCGGUUCAAAGGUUGUUCUAGUCGAUCACGCCAAGGGCUGGUCCCCCCCAGCCGGCGGCGCCGGCUUCUGCGGCGCGGCGCUGGCAGGGGCCGACCUGCCGUGCCUUUGCCGGUAGAAGAACAUCGGUGGCAUGUGGCGAGGUUCUACAAGAUCGACAUGAAACGCGCCAUGGCGUUGCCAGGCAAGUGCGGCCUCACCAUGCCCGCCAACUGCUGA